Molecule: long non-coding RNA, 427 nt
Filed under: Prunus persica (peach)
Lineage: Eukaryota; Viridiplantae; Streptophyta; Magnoliopsida; Rosales; Rosaceae
Description: long non-coding RNA (PPER_LNC001257)
Source: RNAcentral
ACAUGACAUAGAGUGGAGGGCAUAUUUCUCAGUAGCCAAAUCAAAUGGGAAUCUAACUAAGGGAUUGGCCUCGCGAUCAUAGUGCGGUAACCCGGCACCUGGGGUUGGACUUGUCUGUGUCAAACCAUUGUUGUACGCUUGGGCUGCAAAAUCGAACUACCACUUAUCUUCAACCCGAUCUUAACUCAACAACGUGUCGUUUCCAACAGAUAGUCUUUGGAAACAGCAUACGGAAAGGCCCAAUUUGUAUCGAGAUCUAACGACCAUAAGUGUAUGCGAGAAAAUGCACAUCUGAACACCAGAAGCACGCCAACAUGGCAAUCCAUGUGCAUCCGUAUUCUUUAUUUCUUUUCUUCUUCUUUUUUUGGGUGAAAAAAAGACAACAAGCUUUAUUUCCUUUCUUCCCUAAGGUUUCAAUCAAUUCUCG